GGUAGCGUUUGUUUGCAGAGACUGGAACUGAGACUGAGAGACAGAAUCUCAGUAUUAUGUUUGUUGAGCUAGAGACUGGUACUUAAAUUUAUGUCUCUGUCUUCAAAAUUUCAGUAUUUCAGUACCUCCAAAAAGUAGGGACACUGGGGACAGAAAAAUAUAAAGACAGAGACAGAAAUUUUAAUUAUAAUUUGUACCUAAAUUACCCCCUUCUAAUUUUAUAAUUCCAAAAUUACCCUUAAUGUAAAUCAAGCUUCUUGAUCAACCAUCGUUCUUCUCAUUCUCCUUGGCCACUGCAGCCGCUGAAGCAUUCUUCUUCAAGAACAGCCACCGCGUCGCCGCUGGCCUCGCCACCGCUAGAAAAAUCAAAGAACGAAGAUGCCGCCUCUCCUGGGUUGCUGUCGACCUCAACCAUCAACUCCUCGUCCGAACUGCUCUGACCCAAGUUAGUUCUAUACAAAUGUUAUUUAAUUUACUGAUUCCUUUCAUCUUUUCCAUCGUUCCCUAAUCUGUGGAUUUGUUCGUGACCUAGCAUUGGAACCUGUUUGCUUGGUUUGUCAUUAUUUUGUUAAUGGUAUGAAGUAGUAGCAUUGAAGUUGAAGAAA
This is a non-coding RNA of Arachis ipaensis, 605 nucleotides long. Lineage: Eukaryota; Viridiplantae; Streptophyta; Magnoliopsida; Fabales; Fabaceae. The record is from RefSeq and is a predicted model, not a curated record.